CUACGGGGGGCUCCAGUGGGGAAUAUUGGACAAUGGGGGAAACCCUGAUCCAGCAAUGCCGCGUGUGUGAAGAAGGCCUGCGGGUUGUAAAGCACUUUCGGUUGGGAGGACUGCUUCUAGCACUAAUAUUGUUGGAAGUUGACGUUACCUUCAGAAGAAGCACCGGCUAACUCCGUGCCAGCAGCCGCGGUAAUACGGAGGUUGCAAGCGUUAAUCGGAAUUACGGGGCGUAAAGCGCGCGUAGGCGGCUAGAUCAGUCGGGUGUGAAAGCCCCGGGCUUAACCUGGGAACUGCAUCCGAUACUGUCUAGCUUGAGUACAGGAGAGGAGAGUGGAAUUCCACAUGUAGCGGUGAAAUGCGUAGAUAUGUGGAGGAACACCAAUGGCGAAGGCAGCUCUCUGGCCUGAUACUGACGCUGAGGUGCGAAAGCGUGGGGAGCAAACAGGAUUAGAUACCCCCGUAGUC
This 465-nucleotide ribosomal RNA is filed under the name uncultured bacterium. RNAcentral describes it as "partial 16S ribosomal RNA". It matches the Rfam family "Bacterial small subunit ribosomal RNA", at positions 339 to 795 of the family's 1533-position model. The record is from RNAcentral.